AGCUCUAGAAAUAUAAAUAAACAUUAAAAGUGGUGAACUGAGGUGUAAAGAUUACACUUAUUGGUUAAUUCGAAUUAGUUUUUUUUAGUAAUGUUCGUCACUCUGUGUGUAUGCAGAAGGAAGGUGAAAAUAGAGGAAAUGACAGUUUCACUUUUAAUUGCAUUGACAUCCAUACAAAUUAAAAUGAAAUUUAAAAGAAAUAAAUUUAACAAAAUUUAAUAAAACAAUAACAAAAAAAGUUGUAGAAAAGCAAUAUGCUGACAAGUGAGCGGUUUUAUGCAAUAUGUGUGUGCGUUUAUGUUUAAAAAUAACCUUGUGUGCCUCGGCUUAUUGGAACCACUGAUGUAAAUGGAACGUUUUGCUGGAAGAGCUGCUGUCGUUGUUAUUUAUGAAAGAAAUUUAAAAUAAUAAUAUCGGCAAAUUUAAUAAACCAUUAAUAAAUAAAAUAGUAAGAGAGCGCUUGACAGAAAAGUGGGCAACAUUCUAUAUACAUAUGUAGCAUUUGUGCUUACAAAAAUACUGAUGUUCUUUGACUAACCUAGUAUAUAAAGGCAGCAAGUACGCGUCCAUGUCCAUAUUUGAAUGUACAUAAGUAUGUACACACAUAUGCUUAUUGAAGUGUUGCGCGAAAUUGGUAAAAAGUAUAGACAAUUCAUAGCAAGUACUUAUGGUCAGACAUGCACACUUGUAAACAUUUAAAAAAGAGAACAAAAAUCAUUGCAUUUAUUAAAAAAAAUACAAACUUUUUUGUUAACGAUUACUUUGGUGUUUAAUUGCUGAUUUUUUAUAUGUGCGUUCAUAUGCAAGUGUUUAUUGUGUGCGCUUAUCGCCGCGUUGCAAUGGGAAAUGUCAAGUGGCUAUUAAAAUGUCGGACUGAAUGAAAAUUAAUUGGAUUUCUAUGAACUAUCCACUUCGAUGCCACUUACUGCUUUUUCACCAUUUUUCAAGACAGCUACAAGCAGAUAAUCACCAUUCGGCACAUCCUUCACAAGCAAAUCGGUAUCAAGUACAUAGUCCUUAUAGGUUUUUUCUAGUAUGAAUUUACUGCGUUUUCGUACAAUCGAAGUGGCAUAUAUAUAUUUACAGUUACGAGUAUAAUAAACACAAAUAAUUCAAAAAACCUACCUUAGGGAAUGGACACUCAAACUCUUUUGGCAAAUUAGAUG
Molecule: long non-coding RNA, 1166 nt
Organism: Zeugodacus cucurbitae (melon fly)
Lineage: Eukaryota; Metazoa; Arthropoda; Insecta; Diptera; Tephritidae
Exons: 3
Source: RefSeq, a predicted model, not a curated record